AGUGUCAUAAAGUGCCUGGAGUUGAGC
This 27-nucleotide non-coding RNA is filed under the name Bombyx mori (domestic silkworm). The record is from RNAcentral. Lineage: Eukaryota; Metazoa; Arthropoda; Insecta; Lepidoptera; Bombycidae.